Molecule: long non-coding RNA, 3277 nt
Organism: Oreochromis niloticus (Nile tilapia)
Lineage: Eukaryota; Metazoa; Chordata; Actinopteri; Cichliformes; Cichlidae
Exons: 2
Source: RefSeq, a predicted model, not a curated record
CAAACACUUUAAAAAAAGAUAUGUAGCUAUUUUCACACAGGUACUGCAGCCCUAAAUGUCUGGCACACUGGGAUCAGACAUUAAAGAGUCUUAAUAGUCUAACCAUCCAAAUCUCUGUGUAAUGUGAGAGUAGCAUAGGUAAAGGUGUGGUGAAUUCAGUGGGCCACAGGGUGCUGUGCAUCCUUUUUUCUGCAUGCUGUACAAGGAGCACCCUCACUUAAAUCAGACCUUUAAAUCACACCCUCACUUAAAUCAAACCAAUGUGAUUCACCCAAGAUUUACAGAGUUCAUGUGUUUUAUUUAUUUUCUUUUUACUAGUGUCAGUAACACGAUGAUGGAUUUGUCUUUCACAGGCUUCUUUUAUUAUUAGGAAAUUAGGUCAACUUUAGCAGUAAAACACCCUGUAUGCACUGAAAAUAACAAAUUAUACAGUAUGUCACUUGGCCUUAUAUUAAAACCAUUGUUAUGGAUGGGCACAGCGUUUGCAUCUGGCCAUGACGUGAUUAUUUCACAUGCUGAGUUUGCAGCAUUGGCUUCGUCUUACUCUUACACACCUGUUUCAUUUCUCAUCAGACUGACAGCUGAUAAAUAUACACAUAUGCUACAUAUAUUACACAAGGACCACACCGCAGACUCUGCUUUGCUCGCAGUCUUCAAGGGCCAGAGAGAGCAACCUGAAAGCAGGGUGACAUUUACUUAAGCUACGAGUAGUGGGAUUAUUACGAUAUGGGUUCAGUUUGACACAAACGCUAUCUGUACAAGAUAAAAUAUGAAUAACCUCUCAGUUACUGAAAUAUAAAUUAAAGUGUGCAGUGAAGUUUGGACAGUGGAAAAUGUCCUCCAGGUUUGGGUAACCUGACACUGUUGGUAUGACUUAAGUUUCAUAAAUUCUUAAAAGGCAACACUGUCUAGACGAACAAGUUUAUUAAACGUCUCUUCAUUUUUAAUCUAGCCAGCAGUUUUGUUUUCUGGCAUGGAAUCAGCAUCAUGCAAAGCCAUGAAGAGUGCUGCUUUGUUGAAAAUUUUAUUAAUUAUUUUAAGAGUGGAGAUAUAUUAAUUUAAUAUUAACGUAUUUUUUGAAAAGAAAAUACUAAAUGUAUUGUGGCAAUUACUUAUUAAGUGCUGAAUAUGCAAUGCUAGGAACACACAGAAAAGAAAAGUGAGUAAAAAACUAGGUGUAUGAUUGAAAAGCUGUGCAAAAUACAGAACAGUGAUUCAGAGACAUGAAAUAAUUCCAUAUUUUUGUAAAUAAUUCAGAGUAAGCUGGAAUUCUUUUGAGAUGAUGCUACUUUCAUCUGCCGCAUGGGUCUCUCAAAAGACUUACUUGUCCCAGCAUCAAGCAAAGAGACAAAGCGGAGCCGCGUCUUUCUUUGAAGCCUCAGCGUGCGAGCACUGUCAGAUAUGGAAUGUAAACUUUGUUGAUGCCAAAAGGAAAGCUUUAGAGAGACAUGCAUAUGAUUGUUGUCUUGGCUGCAUCAUUUUAAGUGCAGCCAUCUCCUAAUUCUGAUUAAAAUCAGUGCCAAAUGUCAGCCAACACAUUCUGUUGGAUUAUUCUCCUCCCUGCUGGACUUUCCCCAGUUCACUAUAGUCUGUGUACAGGACAUUCUGUCUCUGUGGCGUACAUCUACUGUGCAGUACAAUGGGUUGGUUGUAGACUAUUUCUCUACAUAAGCAAAAAAGCUGCCAGCAGCUGAGAGAGAACUUGACUUUUCUGUGACACAUGAGGCCAACUAUGAGCAGAGAAAUGUCUUUCUGUAUCGCCAGUUUCUGAGCUCAUGAUUGGUUGGACUUGUUGAAACCACUUUUUGUUUAACUUGUGGACGCUGGUAUGUGAUGUAGUGGAUUGUUGUACACCUUUUACAUUAACCGUUUUACUUGCAUGCAUAGUAAGCAAGUCGGCUUUGUUGCAGAUUCUGAUUGAUGCAGCUUCCGGGCUGCUUUUCCAAACAGUGUAAUGGACGUUAAAGGCUGUAUACAGUAAAUGUCCCUUUCUUUGAAAUGAUUUUAAAUUGUCAGAGUGAUUAUGGCUCUCAGAGUCUUCUUUCAUACACAGAUGAACUAUAAAGGGUCCUUACCUGAUUGAUGAACAUUGAUUGAUACUUAACUAGCCCAGGUCUACUUUUUUAACUCAUCACUAGUGUGAUGUGAGCAAUUUGUAAUUUUUGUCACUUCGGAAUGAAAAUAUUUAGUUUUUUUGUCACUUCUAAAGUAAAAUGCCAUCAUCCUGUGAUUCAGGGCAGUUCAUUAAAUAAUUCUGUGUUUUGUUUUUUUCCCAAAUACAAUGAAUUAUUAUUAAUAUUCGGUGUAAUGCACAUCAGGACGUAGUGCAAUUUUUAAGCUUUUUGUGCCUUAAAAACUGCAGCUCAAGUGAGCAGAGUGAGUCAUUAGAGUUGGAAGAAAAAGGACAAGAGUGAGCAAGAGUAAAGCAGUGGAAUGUAGGGCGAGUGAGUGAAGCUGAGUGAAAAAAAUCCUCAGUGAGACCGAGUCAGCGCUGGCAGCUUAUCUGCUGUGUGCUGCUUUUUUUUCUCUCUUUUUUUUCUCCUCCUCAUUUUCCAUUUCCUCUUUCUUCUGUUCUUCUGAGAGUGAGAGCGAGAGAAAGAGAUAUUCACCCCUCUCUGAGACGGCUGAGUUGGUACAGCCCGGCCAUCUGACGGGCCCAAAAAUCUCACUGUGCUGCUGUGAGUGCCAAUCAAAGAGGAGUGCUCGGCAGGGAUUACCUUGAGUGACCCUGCAUAGAUUAGUGCGUGCAUGUGAGAUGGACAAUUCUUUGGGCGGCUUAAGCGGCCUGAUGACACGCUUUCCCGGAAUAUGUGUGGUUGUGCCGUGGCCCGGCAGCCCUUCUAAGGAGCUCUACUAUGGUGCUGUCCUCCCCCUCUACUGCUACCGUUACCACCGCUAUGGAAGCACCGGAGGGUAAAUUCUCAUUUGCACCACUGGUAAGCUGUGGCUCUCAGCGAAGGAAAGGGAUUUUUAUGACCAGCAAAUGAGCUUACAGGCCGUCAACCCUGUUUUUCGGAUGCGGAGUCCUGCUUUGCUGUGAUAAUUGGUUCAUGAGCUGCUCCACAGUGUAGUUCACAGAAAGUUAGCAACUUUGGUCUAAUUUGGAUUUCUGCAAGGAAUCUCUGUAGAGCCUACAAAGUAACCUAUGCAAGUGGCGAACGUCAUUGCCAGCAUUUCUGUUGUGCUGCUGCAUUAUGUGUUUAUCACCAUGUGGUCGUGUCCCGGUGUUUUAUAUGCAGUGUCAGCCGAUGGAAACAAAUAAAAUGCUGAGACUUUU